GGCGUAAAGCGCAUGCAGGUGGAUUGGUAUGUCAAUUGUGAAAUACCUGGGCUCAACCCGGGAACUGCAGUUGAAACUGCCUUUCUUGAAUGCUGUAGAGGGGGGUAGAAUUUC
This 114-nucleotide ribosomal RNA is filed under the name uncultured bacterium. Its description in RNAcentral is "partial 16S ribosomal RNA". It matches the Rfam family "Bacterial small subunit ribosomal RNA", at positions 557 to 670 of the family's 1533-position model. The record is from RNAcentral.